RNAcentral lists this ribosomal RNA (515 nucleotides) under uncultured bacterium. RNAcentral describes it as "partial 16S ribosomal RNA". It matches the Rfam family "Bacterial small subunit ribosomal RNA", at positions 28 to 523 of the family's 1533-position model. The record is from RNAcentral.
GAUGAACGCUGGCGGCGUGCCUAAUACAUGCAAGUCGAGCGAAUGGAUUGAGAGCUUGCUCUCAAGAAGUUAGCGGCGGACGGGUGAGUAACACGUGGGUAACCUGCCCAUAAGACUGGGAUAACUCCGGGAAACCGGGGCUAAUACCGGAUAACAUUUUGAACUGCAUGGUUCGAAAUUGAAAGGCGGCUUCGGCUGUCACUUAUGGAUGGACCCGCGUCGCAUUAGCUAGUUGGUGAGGUAACGGCACACCAAGGCAACGAUGCGUAGCCGACCUGAGAGGGUGAUCGGCCACACUGGGACUGAGACACGGCCCAGACCCCUACGGGAGGCAGCAGUAGGGAAUCUUCCGCAAUGGACGAAAGUCUGACGGAGCAACGCCGCGUGAGUGAUGAAGGCUUUCGGGUCGUAAAACUCUGUUGUUAGGGAAGAACAAGUGCUAGUUGAAUAAGCUGGCACCUUGACGGUACCUAACCAGAAAGCCACGGCUAACUACGUGCCAGCAGCCGCAGUAA